UUUUGUGCAUAAGAAUUGCCAUUAGAUCUCUCAGGGGUUUAAAAAAGGAAGAAGAAAAAAAAAAAAACCCAGUAAAAAUAGAGGCUUGUAUUUCCAGCAAUUUCAUGUUGCCACCUCCUUGCUUUCCUCACGCUUUCCAUCUUGUUGCCUGGCAUUGCCUCUGACAAGUCCUGCCGAGUGAUGAGCCAUCCUCUGACACUAUUAAGCUCUCACCAGGUAGUAAGUCUGAAUUCUCUGCUGGUGUAAAUGAGCAGAGCUGCUUGAGCCCAUAGAUCUUUUCAAUGACUGGAUGGAACACAGAAGGAGAACCUUUGUCAAAGAUCAAUUAUUUCUUAAUCUUAAAUGGAAAUUCUGCAGUCCAGGUGAGGGAUCUCUGAGUGUCCUCAACAAGAAGCACAGUACCCAAUGACCUGUGAUGGCCACGGCUACUGGACCCAUGAUGGAAACGUAAGUUGACAGCAGGGCUUAAAAAAAUAUUCAGCUGUUGUAUAUCUAACAUAUCUAACUUGCAAAGUAUUUCAGUAAUCAAUUUGGUGUAUUAUACUUGUGUAAACACUGACUGUACAAGAAAGUUACUAGG
This 580-nucleotide long non-coding RNA is filed under the name Junco hyemalis (dark-eyed junco). RNAcentral describes it as "lncRNA (ENSJHYG00000010503.1)". Lineage: Eukaryota; Metazoa; Chordata; Aves; Passeriformes; Passerellidae. The record is from RNAcentral.